Molecule: long non-coding RNA, 12928 nt
Filed under: Phaseolus vulgaris (common bean)
Lineage: Eukaryota; Viridiplantae; Streptophyta; Magnoliopsida; Fabales; Fabaceae
Description: long non-coding RNA (PVUL_LNC001165)
Source: RNAcentral
AACCCAUUACUUGUUUCAUUUUAUUUUGUUUUCCAUCAAUAAUUUUGUUACAUAAAAACCGUAAUAGUGUAAAACUUGGAACAGUUUUAUGUUUUUAUGGAACAAUUAAUACUCGAAAAAAUAAUUUUUAUAAAAUAACAAAACUCUUGUAUCGACUCCAAAAGUUACAGUGUAAUCCCGAACUUUCUUCAACCUUUUCCGCUGCUUUCCACUGAAAAUGCAUAAUCCUUUUGCAGUUGAGUUCUCUUGAUUCUCUCCAUACCUAACAUUUCUCUUCGUUCGUCUAUUUAUCAUGCGUCAAACCCACAUUUGAUGUUUUUUUUUUAAUCUUGCCCUUCCAAAACUGAUGUGUGUAAUUUGAUCUAACUUUUGAAUAAAGCAAUAUUUUUCUUAGAGUUACUGAUCGUUGAAGAAUUCAUUUGUAUGCUUCUGUUGAUCACAUAUAAAUCUAGGGAAUCAAGUGUGUUUCUAAGUUGGGUAAUGAAAGUUUUAACCAACUAUUGUGUUUUUGAGAGUGUACUUCGUGUGAGAGAGAACACCAGAAUGAGAAUGUAUGGGACAGAUAGUGACGGUGUAGAGUGGUUGUGAAAGAGAGUUUCUGAACUGGAAGAAUAACCCCUAUAAAUGAGAAAGUUCAAUAAGGUUUUGGAGGCAAUCUUUUGUCUGAGUGUUGAGAAACAUACAAGAAAAAAUCCAGAAACUCAUUGAAUCCCCUCGAGCCAUUCGGUUUAUACUAUAUAAUAUAUAUUUGCUACAAUUAAUUUGGUUUUGUUCCUACUAGGGAGAUGAGACCUAGAGAACUAUUGAAGUCUUCUUCUCCUUCCUUCGGUCGGGCAGGUGACUGGGUGAUGAACUGUGGUUCUUCUCGUCCUCUUGCUUAUCCUUCGGUACUCGGCACUCGGUCAUCGGACGAAUCACCGGAUGGUGGGUACCUGCGAAGGCACUCCGACGCUCAAGUCAGUAAAGCGGGUGGUCAGCUCAGUAAUAAAUGACAUACCUUACUCCUUGGAAUGCGCGCUAUUUAUAUUAUUCUAAUGGGCCUACCUUGUUGGGCCCGCUUAUCGAGGUGGAUACCGCUUAGGGUUGCAUUACCUAAUUCUUGAUGAUGGAUUAAGUUCACUGAUCUUGGUUUGAGCGUUAGCUGUAGUAGGGGUCGGCCGUCGGCCAAGUUCCCAUGGUGUGGGUCGGCCAUCGGCCAAAUUCCACUGGUCUUGGUCGAGUCUUAUAAGGUCUUGGCCAAGUCUUCUAAGGUCUCGGCCUCUCGGCCUUUCGACCAAGUCUUCUAAGGUCUCGGUCUCUCAGCCUCUCGGCCAAGUCUUCUAAGGUCUCGGUCUCUCGACCUUUCGGCCAAGUCUUCUAAGGUCUCGGUCUCUCGGCCUCUCGGCCAAGUCUUCUAAUGUUUCAGCCAAGCUCCCCUGGUCUCGGUCAUGUGGACUCGGCCACGGGCAGCCAGGUGGACCUCGGCCUCGCCCAUACCGGUACAGGUUUAUUCAAGGAUGUUAUGUUAACUCGUCAGACAUUCUCAAUGAUUCAAGGAGUGAGCACUAAAUCUUGUUACCUGGUAGAAAGUGAAGAAUUUUUGCAUAAAAAUGACCCAUGAACCUUUUGCUUACUUUGAUUCUUUUUUUUUUCUUUGAUUGUCAGGUUGCGAAGCGCUUAGAGAAGUUCCAGAGAUCUAAGGAAGCAUUGAUCAGCCAGAAAGAUGGAAUCAUAAACCUUGGACGAGGCUUUCCCAACUUUGAUGGUCCAGAGUUUAUAAAGGAAGCAGCAAUUCAAGCAAUAAGGGAUGGGAAAAAUCAGUAUGCACAAGGCUUUGGAGUUCCGGAGUUAAACAUUGCUAUUGCUGAUAGAUUUAGGAAAGAAACUGGAUUAGUGGUAGACCCUGAUAAUAAAGUUACUGUCACAAAUGGGUGCUUAGAAGCAAUUUCUGCAACUGUUUUAGGAUUAAUAAAUCCUGGUGAUGAGGUUAUCCUGUUUUCUCCUUUAUAUGAUUGUUAUGAAGGCAAUUUAGCCAUGGCUGGUGCAAAAAUAAUAAGCAUCCCUUUGCAACCUCCAGACUUUGCUAUCCCGAUUGAAAAGUUGAAGUUAACCGUGUCAAGGAGUACACGUGCCAUUGUUAUAAAUACUCCUCACAACCCUACGGGAAAGAUGUUCUCUCUAGAGGAACUCAAUGACAUUGCAUCCCUUUGCAUUGAGAAUGAUGUUCUAGUUUUUGCUGAUGAAGUUUAUCAUAAGUUGACAUUUGAUAUGGAGCACAUUUCAAUAGCUUCUUUGCCUGGAAUGUUUGAAAGGACCGUGACAAUGAACUCAUUGGCAAAGACAUUUAGCUUAACAGGAUGGAAGAUUGGUUGGGCCGUAGCACCCUCACACCUGACAUGGGGACUGCGACUGGCACAUUCUUUCAUCACUUUCUCAAACGCCACUCCUUUGCAGUGUGCAGCUGCAGUAGCUCUUAGAGCGCCAGACUCUUACUAUGUGGAGCUGAAGAGGGAUUAUAUGGCAAAGAGGGCUAUUUUGGUGGAAGGAUUAAAGGCCGUUGGCUUUAAGGUAUUCCCACCCAACGGAACAUUCUUUGUUUUAGCUGAUCAUACCCCUUUUGGAUUGGAAAAUGAUGUUGCAUUUUGUGAAUAUCUGCUUAAGGAGGUGGGGGUGCUGGCAAUCCCUUGCAGUGUGUUUAGCUUCAAUCCAGAAGAGGGAAAGAAUCUAGUCAGAUUUGUUUUCUGCAAGGAUGAUGAAACUCUUAGGGUCGCGGUUGAGAGGAUGAAGGAGAAACUUAGAAAAUGAUCUCAAUGCUUGAUCAAGUCCUCUAUAUAUUGGAUUUUCAACCAUAUCUAGCCAUUGCCAACAUCUUGUUUGCAUGUUCUUCUUCCCAAGAUUCAUGAUCUUUUUAUGUGUUGAGUUUUUAAUUCUGGGGACUGUGGAGUGGAAAAUAGAACUUUACACCUCCUAAUGUCCCAAGUUUCUUAUAUUACCAAACAAAUGUUUGGUUAAUAAUGUGUUUACUGUGUCAAGGUAUCAUGGUCCAAUGUGGGAAUAAAAGCAAAGUUUGAAUCUCUAUAUAUUUGGUGUCUGCCUUGGUUAUAAAUGAUUGAUAGGUUGACACUCUAAAUAUAAAAAACAUUCAUUAACAGCGGGUGGUGAAUUGUUGACACUUAAUUAAUGAAAAAUAUUCACUUAACACUACAAAACUAAGUAACAUUUACAUGACAACUUAUUAUAAUAAUAUUUUAUAUUAAAUAUAGAUAGAUGAAUGUCUUUCACUAUUUAAUGUCGAACUGUCACCAUCCUUUAUAAAACCAUUGUCUCAAAUUAUAUACUAAAAGUAAUUUAGAAAAAAAAAGUAUUCCUUCAUCUAAUAGAGUACUUAUACUUUAAAAAAAUAAAACUUAAUCUUUGUUUGGAUAUGACGUACUCUUACGUGGAAUGGAUUAGAGUGAUUUGAAUGAAAAUUUUGGGUUUGGAUUGAGUUGAUUUUGAAUGAUAGAUUUGAAGGAAGAUUUCUUUGUUGAAUGGGUGAGAAAGGAUGAAAAAGUCAAAUUCACAUGUUACUUGCAAAAACUGAUAUCGCCUUAAUAGAAUAAUGGUUUGGUCAAUUUCUUCUAUUAUUAUUAUAAGUUAUGUGUUAAUGCAUAGUUGAUUAUGUGAAAUAGACAUCAUAUGUAAUAGAUUAAGUCAAAUAAUAUAAUCAAUUAAAUGUGUUUUUUUACUGGGAUGUUGUCUAUUAACAUAAAGGUUCACACAAGUUCCUCUGUGUCAAAAUGUACCCAAAUUCCUCUCUCUUACAAUAAAAAAACAGCUUAUUAUGGAUUUCAAACUCGAUCAAAAUAAAUGAGUGUGUUUAUUACUUUUCAUUGUUCUACUUCUAUUUAUAUGAACUUCAAAAAAAUUAUUACUAUAUUUUUUGGUUUACAGUAUUAAUUCACAUUAUUUAAACCAAUAUUAUUAUAUUUUAAAAUAUAAAUUAUCACUAUAAUAAAGGUAACUUUGUCUUUACCAAAAAAUUAUAAUUUUUCUCUUUUCUUUUUUCUCAAGCAAAUAUUUCACUGUAUUUUUUCUCUUUUCAUUUUAAUUCAUUUAAUCUAAAUAAUAUUACUUUUCAUUUAAUUUUUUUUCUUUCCUUUUUAUUCUUAUUUUAAAUUUGAAGUUUUAUUUGUAGAAAAUAUUUUAAAUUUGGAAGUUUAUCCAAAAAAAAUUAUCACAUGGACAACGACUUUAAAAUAGAUGUUUUUUAAAUUUGUUAUUUCUUUUUUAUCGAAGUAAAGAAGCCCAAAAGUGGAAAAUAACUUUCUUAAGACUUUGUAAGACGUUUAGUUAUACACUGAUUUUUAUUUAUGAAAUAUUCAUAAAAUUAUAUUUUAAACUACAAAGAAAAUUUAAUAAUCCUAACAUACAUUUUUUUAAACUACCAAAUACAAUAUUUUUUUCACUGGAGCUAAAAAAAAACAAAAUGCACUUAUAGAAUUCUGUUUUUAGUUAAAAUGUGAUUGCAAAAUUUUAGAAACUUUAUUAUUUUAGUGAAAAAAAUUAGUAGUCAAAUAUUUUGAAAACCAAAUUAUAAAAUAUUUACUUUUUAUAUUUAAAUAUUAAAAAUAGUGAUUGAACUUAUACUUUCAGUCUAUAUUUUAUUUUAAUGUAGUUAGUGUUUAAAAUAAUUUUAUGUAAUCCUUGAAAAAUUAUUUAUAAAUUAAAAGAGAUCUAUGUUACUUAACUUUUUCAUAAAAAAAAUUGUCUAACUCAUGAUACAUGUUACAGUGAGCGUGUGAGUGAGAGAGGGAGAGAUAUAUUAUAGCAGUAAAGAGUGUUAAUUACUAUUUAACACAUAUACAUUACAUCCGUAUUUAUACAUAGGAUUGAUAUACAAAUGGUUACAUUUAUAUUCCCUUAACAUCCCUUUCAUAUACUAAUUAUAUUUAUUUUAAUUUUUUAAUUGAUACUUCACGUCAAUUAUUAGAAAAUAAUAACAUUUUAUAAUAUAAAUGAUAUCAAUUUUAACAUAUAAUCAAUUUAUAUAUCUAUUAAAAAUAAAAAUAUUUUAUAAUAUAUAAAUAAUUACAAAUCUUAUAUUAUAAAUUAAUUUUAUAAAAUUGAGUUAAAUUUAAAAUUUAUAUUUUAAUAUUUUCAUUUUCUUUUUCUUCUUUGAUACUGUGACAACAUUGACACCAUUUAAUCAUUUAGAUCCUAAAGUCCUCAAUCUAUAUCUCAUUGGUUUACUCAAAUAUUCUCACCACAAAUGCCAAUAUCUUUUCGAAUCUGCUCACGACCAUGAUUUUUUUUUUUUAAUUUGGUCAUAAACUAAACGACCAUGAUUUUUUUUUUUUAAUUUGGUCAUAAGCUAAACAAACACUCUAUUGCAAACAAAGUUUGUGAUGACGUAAACAUGGUUUUCAUUUUAAUUUAAGAAUUCUAGAUAGCGUAUAACAUUGUCUUUGAAUUACCAAAUACUAUCCAUAGAUGAUUUAAAAAAAAAAAUAUGUUGUAGUUUCAAAAUUACCAAAUGCUCUUACAGAUAUUAAGCGAACUAGAAUUCAGUUUUUUUUAACUAAAAAGUAGUUGCACAAAUUUUAGAAGGUUUAUUUUUACUUAGAGUAUUAGCUGUAAUAUUAAAAAUCAAUUUUCAGAAUUUUUUUUACAGCUGUGCAGAGGUUUGUAUAAAUAAAUUACCAAAAUACUAAUAAUUAUUCUUAAAAUCUAAGCUUAGUGAGAAAAUAUUAAUAUUAAAAUAUUUUCAGAAUCACUUUUUGAAAAUAUUUUUUUGUAUUGUGCUUAUACUGUCAGUAUAUGAUAUUUUUAUUUUGACAUAAUUAAUACUUCAUUCUAUUUUAUAAAAUUAUUGAAGUAUUAUUUAUAAAUUAAAAAAUAUCUGUGUUAACCACUUGGACUUGCCCGUAAAAGUGUAUUACUCAAAAUAAGUUUGUAUUUUUUUUAUAUAGCCAAAGUAGUUUGUUUAGGAAAAGAACAAAUAAUUAUUUUUUCGUUUAAGGCAACACGUUUUUCUUAUUUAAAUAAUUUUAUAAUAAGAUUAAUAGGAUAGAAAAAUCUGAAAUUCUUUUUCUAACAAAUUAUAGCUUUGUAUUUUAUUUUUUUUAGAAUUUUUUUUAAUGUUUCUUUUUAUAAACAUGCCUUUUUAUAUUUUCUUACAUUUAAAAAAAAUUACAACUUCUUAAAUAUUUUAUUUUCUUUUACAUAUAAUGUAAAACAAUCUAAUGUAAUGAAACAUGCAUUUUAAAACUUUCAAAUUUACUGGUAUAUAUUAUUUUAUUAUAAUUUCAAAAAGUAUUUCUUAAAAUAUUAUUUUAACUAUUAUGACUGUAAAAUAUUGAUUCAGUAAAAAUAAGUAUAAUUUUUAAAAUAACUAUCAUACAAAUUUAUUUAUUUAGCAUUGAUGAAAAAUAUGAUAUUGAAAAUAAAGUAAAAAAAUAAUAAUUUAAAGUAAUUAUUUUGAUAACGUAAGAGAUAAAAUAUUUUAAUAAAAUUUAUUUUUUAAUUUUUCACUCAUUAAGAUGUGUUUAUGAUAUUAAACAAUGUACAAAUAUACUCCUUGUCUUUGAGACUUAUAGAUAAAAGAUGGAAUGAGAUAAUUAACUUAUGAGAGUGGUUCAAUUUUAUUGUUUGAUUAUCAAUAAUACGGAUGAAUAAAAAAAUAUAAAUGGAUAAGUUGUAUUUGGAAGUUCAAUUUAAAAAAUGAAGAAAUUCAAUUUUGGGUGAAACAUGUACAAAGUUACUAAAAAAAAAUCUGACACUAUUAGCUAUAAUUAUCUUUACUUCCAUCAUUUUAAUACUUUUUUUAUUAUAUAGAAGGAUGAGACACUAACCAGUUGAAUAAUUAUUUUCUCAUACGUUCUUUGUUUUUUCUUUUCUACACUCCCUAAUCUUAAGUUUCGGCUCAUGGUUGGAAGUGUACCCGCAAAAGGUACUUCAUGCUCAAGUAAGAGUUUGAUACUCGGUGCGUAAUGAAUGUUAUAUUAAUUGCGUAUCUUUGUUUUGUGAUGUAUUUAUUUAUACAAUUUGUCAUGAGCUAUAUUAUUAAUAGGCCACAUUUAAUAUUUAUAAUCAUACAAAUGGAAAUACAUGAUUUGUCGCAUAUUUCUUUUUACCUUGAAGUUUUUAUCCUUAGCCGAUCAGACGACCUUCGCUAUGGGGGUUACAAAUCCUGUAACCUUAAACAAUACAAAUACAAAUUCACCUUUGUAUAAUAAUCAUAGGACUAAGACUCUUAUAUAAGAAAUUGUAAAUUGUAAGUGAAAACUUGAGAGUUUGAGAAGUUGGACAAUUAUUUUAGUAAAUAAAACAUAGGUCAACAAUAGUAAAAAAUACUCUUCACAAAUUAAAUCUAAAAUUAAUUUGUUAUCAUAUAUAACAACUUUUUUUUCAUGUUGUACUACUGUAAUAUUUGGAGAUAUUGUAUCCUGAGUAACUUGGAUACACAUAAAAAAAAUUAUUGUAACUAAUUGAAUGGGAAGUAUUUAAUAACCAACUCAUCUUAAUCACCUCUAAAUACUUUAACUUAGACUCAAAGAAAUAUAAAUAGGAAAAUAAUUCUUUGAUACUAUCAACAGUGAAACACUUUCAUUUGACAACCUCAAAAAAUAAUAUAAUAAUAUUUUGUAUUAAAAAUAAACUAAAUAUAAUUAAAAUAUUAAUUUAAUGAAUUGUGAAAUGGGUGUAUUUAUUGCGAAGAGUGUCAAUGUAUCAACAUCCAUAUAAAUAUACAUUUGGUCUCACAUAUAUAUUUAAAUUGUCUUUGACUUCAACUCCUAAGUGAUGUAAGACUAUUCAGUGUACCAUAACAAAACCCCAAGACGAGGUCUAAGGGGAAUAAUGGUUCAUUUUUAGAAUCACCUUUUCAUUCUCACAGACGACGUCAAUGUUACAAACUUAAGUUUAUUGAGAUAAUAUCAUUAUGGGCAAUCACUGCAUCCGAGGUAUUGUCUACUUUAGAGCUCGAAACUCCGUCACAAUUUUUCCUUAAAAGUCAUCUCAAAUGGUUAAGGGAGGCAAGUGUUUUUAAAUUGUCCUUGACCUCAACUCCUAAGCAACGUGAGAAUAUUGAGUAUACAAGAAUAAACUCCUUCAGUCAAGGUCUAAGGAGAACGAGAGUUCGUCUUUUGAACCACUUAUCCAUUCACAAACGACACCAAUGUUUCGACAUCAAGUUUGUUGAGAUAACAUCAUCAGACAAUUAUUGGAUAUAUACUAAGUAGAGUCUGGUUGAGAAAAGCCCCAACUCUAGAUAAGGUCGCAAAGCUUCAACCUUUAAGAUGGUUGUAAAAACACAACCUUGGAAAUAGUAACGUAAACUAAACUCAAUGAACAUUAAAGUUCAUUCAUCCACCUAAUUAGUCUACAUGCACCUUAUUUAUGGAUUUCGAGAUUGGGUGGCUUGUGUACUACCUGACUUUUCAAUUUUCAAAGAUAUUUUACCCACCUCCAAGACUCGAAGAUACAUAACAAAUUUGGUUGUAAUUGAUCGAACGGAAAGUACUUAAUAAAUAACUCAUUUUAAUCAAUUUUAACCUAGAUCCAAAGGCCUAUAAAUAUACACUUGGUCUCAUAGGAAGUACUCACUUAACUCUCUUUACUCAUAUACUAAUAUUUUUAAAACUUCUCUAGCUCAUACUUUUGAACAUCAAAUAAUCUUUUUGUAGGUGGAUCUCCACUUGGUAUUUCUCAACAAGCUUGAUAACCAUUCUUAAGAGGAUUCAACUUGAUUUCUAGCUUGACUUCCUUGAAGCUUCCUCAAUCCAUCUUGGACAGUUCUCACUUAGUGUUUUUUUAUUUCAUAUUUAUCUAUUACAUGGAAACAUAAAAUUAAUUAAGGAUAAAUAUGUUAGGCACUUAACUCCAUUCUUCAUUUCUCUUCAAUUAUUGGAAUAGCCAAAAUAACAUUUGGUAUUUUUCAAGUUUAGACUUUUCUAAUCAAAAGAAUGUCACAUACAAACAAUCUUUUUAAUAAUAGAUUGAAUCAAGUGUAAACAAAUUCAAGCAAAAGUUGAAUUAUACAUUGUCAUAAAAAGGUGUUUUUUUCUUGCAUAAUACUUUUAAUAGUUAUGGUCUAAUUCAACAACAAUACUUCUAAUCCAAAGACAAGUUUAUACACUUCACAAUAGUAUGUCACAAAUUGAAGUUGUGCAAUUGAAGACGAGUUUGACUUUCAUUAAAGUCGUUCAACUGAAAACAAUUUUGGUUCAUUAAAGUCAUAUCAAGCAUGACAACUUUGUUCAACUUUUACUCAUUAAAAUCAUAUUAAAAAUUAAAAAUUUGAUUAAUUUUCUUCUCAUUAAAAAUGUGCUUAUGUGCACAAAUUUGAUUCGUCAAUUAAAGUCGUGUCAAUAUACAAAAAAUAAAGAGUAAAUAGUCGGUUUAUUACAAUAAAUAUUAACAUAUUUCAUUUUUAGUUCAUUAAGAAAAAAGAAGAAGAACAAUCUUAGUACAAAAUUUUAAUUUCAUUAGUUUGAUUUAAACUCUAUUAAUGAUUAAAGUAAUUAAGCAUGUGUUAGUCUUUAAUAAUUACCACAUGAGUUUAUCAUUCAAGGUUAAUUGCAUAUCAAUAUUAAUUUUAUCUUUAAUAAAUACGUGUAACAAUUACUAAAUAGCAAAUGUGUUCAAUUACUUAAAUCAUUAAUAAAGUUCAAACAAAACUAAUAAAAUUAAUUUUUUUUAUUAAAACUAUAUUUUAUAAACUAAAUAUAUCAAUUUGUAAAUAUUGUAGUGAAUCCAUUAUUUAGCAAAAAAUAAAAUAAGAAGUACAAUAUCUUUAAAAAAUUAAAAACAAAUAAAGAACAUGUGUUAAGCAUGACAUACGUACAUGUGUUUAAACCAAAUUUUGAUUAGUAACACAACUUCAUUUUAAUGUCAUAAUUUUAAGCACAAUUUACCUAUUUGUUUUUUUAAUUAUCCAUACUGAUAAUUUGGAAAGGAAAUUACAUUACUUUGAUAAUUUUUCGUGGAAUGAACAUGAUUAUUGUCUUUCAGAACUAAAAUAAUUGUGGUUUAAAUUUAACUUAAUAUUUUUUAUCCAACUUAUUUAAUUUGUAACUUAAAAAGAAUUAGACUAAAUUGACAUGUAAGUUUAUCAAUUAAUCAACAUUAUAAAAUAAUAUUUUUUUUAAAUACAUGCAUAUAUUACAAUUUAUUUAUAUUUUUAUAUUAAACCAUUAUAUUUUAAAUUAAAGUUAAUUUAUUAAUAGACUUAAAUUUUGAAAACAUAUUUUUUUUAUUUAGAAUUAUUUUCUUUUUAUAUUUAUUUCAAAAGAGUAAAAAACGACUUGUUAAAUUGACAUAAGAUCAUACUACUAAAAAAAUAUAAUUUAUUGUAAAAAGAGACUAAAAUAUUUUAAAUGACCAAUUAAAUUGGAUCAAGUCAAACCGAUUCCUUUAACAAGUCUAAUUUAUUGCGACUCUACGAAAUAGUUAAAUAAAAAUAAGAUAUAUGAUAAUAAACACUUUAUAAAAUUAGCAAUGAUAAAUUUAUUAUUAGAAAAUAUAAUAAAAUAUUUAAAUAUAAAUUAUUUUAAAAAUAAAAAAUAAUUAAUCAUUAUAUAACUAAAUUAAAUAUUAUUUUAUAAACUAAAUUUAUUAAUAUAUAAAAUAAUUUCUAUUACUAAUAAAAAUUUGGUGCAAUUAUCUCAAUAUUAAGAUUAAUAGUAAAUUUAGUUUGAUGGUUUUUAAAAAUAUUAAUUUUGUUCUAUGUUUUUUUAAAAAUAUAUAAUUUAAUCCUUUCUAUUAAGCUCAUAUAAAUGACAUUAAAUAGUAAUUAAAUAUCACAUAAUUAUAUGAUUAUUUUUUUCUUUAAAUUAUUAAUAUUUAACGGUAAUAAUAUUAUUUUACAAUAAGCUAUAUAUUUUCUAUUUUAACAAAAAUUUAAAAUAGUUAUUUAUAUUUUGUGUUGUUUAUGUUUACAUUUUUUACUUUAAUUCUUUAUUUUUUUUUCCAAUAUAUCAAAUUGAUAUUUCGUUAAUUUAUUAUAUAUUUUAGCUUAAUAUAAUGAAUUGUGAGAUACAUAAUGCUAAUUAAAAUUAUAUGAUUAAUAAAAAUAAUUUAAUUUAGAAGAGACAAUAAAACAAAGUAUUUUUCUGAAAUUAUAGAAUAAAACUUAAAAUAUAAUUAAUGACACCCCUAUUUUUUAUUUUUUUAAAUAUCUUUAUCUUUAACAGUGGCAGCCCGGGCAGCCGUGAGCACGAGGCAUAAAGUUUAGUAGAAAGAAUCAAAUUUGAGUCCAAUGCAGCAGGUCUAUGCUAACUCCCCAUAUAUACUCAUGAGAUUCACGCCUUCAUCCAAGUUCUUAGGCUUUUCAAAUCACUUCAAUAACCUUCUCGCACCCUCUUUUUCUCUAACCUCAAAGUUCCCAUCUUCCAUUGCCGCCACCAUGUCCACUGUUCCCACUCAGAACGACACCGUCACCCACAAAACGCAUCAGCCUCUGCAAGUUCGUUAUUUUCCCCCUUUCAGAUCUCUUUAUUAUGCAAGAAUAUUUUAAUGUUCUGUGUUAAAUUAGAUGUCUGAAUGUGAAUCGUAUUAUCUUUUUAUCUCAGCUUUUAAUUCUGCUGACUACCUGUUUCUUAGAAUUUACAUCAUGCAUGCUGCUGUGUUCUACACAUAUGGAAUGGGACCUUCACGCAUUAUAAAUCACCCCUGUUCUUACGUUUCCUUUGAUCUAUAGAGUUGCUAUGUUACCAAACAAAUUUAAGGGUUUUGGUAUAGUUGUCUUUUUGGGGCAAUAGAUGAAUGGGUUUGGGGGAACCAAGGAAGAGAUUGAGGGAGGGGGAAUUUUCUCAAUUACAUUCUCAAAAUCUUUAAAUUUCGGAGAGUACCGUAGAAUAUGUCUAUUUUAUAUUCAUAUCCCUUUUGAAUUACUUAGUUAUUUGGUGAAGGUUGUCUUUGCUACAAUUCAGUUUCAACUUAUUUGAUGAUGCUAGCAUCUUUAUGAGUAUGUUUGGAUAACUUUUUUCAUAUACACUUGAAGAAGAAGAAAAUAAGAAGGAAAAAUAAAAACAAGUUUUGUGUUAAAAUUUGUUUAACAUGCCUUAAUUUUCUAUCAGAGUUUAUGAAAAACAUUGUCUGAUCAUAUUCUGUGAAUAAAACUUAAACCUUGUAGUGCAAGGAACUAAGAUUAUAUCUUACCUGGUAAAAAAGAGGAGAGGGUUUGGGGAAGAGAGAGUUUGGUUGUAUUUUGUACCUGGCAUCUACUGACCAAAAUAAUGCCAAAAAGAAAACAUGAUACGUAUGACAAUUUCAUAGCUCAUAGUUGAGCAGCAUGUUUACUUUAAUUCCUGUUGAUUUUGUCAGAUUGCAAAGCGCUUAGAGAAAUUUCAGACAACAAUCUUCACUCAAAUGAGCUUGCUUGCCAUCAAACAUGGAGCCAUAAACCUUGGUCAAGGCUUUCCCAACUUUGAUGGUCCAGACUUUGUGAAGGAAGCAGCUAUUCAAGCAAUCAGGGAUGGGAAAAAUCAGUAUGCCCGGGGUUAUGGAGUUCCAGACCUUAACAUUGCCAUUGCUGAGAGAUUUAAGAAAGAUACUGGAUUAGUGGUAGACCCCGAAAAGGAAGUUACUGUUACAUCUGGAUGCACUGAAGCAAUUGCUGCAACUGUACUAGGAAUAAUAAAUCCCGGUGAUGAGGUUAUUCUGUUUGCUCCUUUUUAUGAUUCUUAUGAGGCUACUUUGUCUAUGGCCGGUGCAAAAGUCAAAAGCAUUACUUUGCGUCCUCCAGAUUUUGCUGUCCCUAUUGAAGAGCUGAAGUCCACCAUCUCAAAGAAUACCCGUGCCAUUCUUUUAAAUACACCUCACAACCCUACUGGAAAGAUGUUCACUCGCGAGGAGCUUGAUUGCAUUGCAUCUCUUUGCAUUGAGAAUGAUGUUCUGGUUUUCACGGAUGAGGUUUAUGAUAAGUUGGCUUUUGAUAUGGAGCACAUUUCGAUGGCUUCUUUGCCUG